GAAAUUUGGUAUAUUUUUAUUCAUUUACAGCAUUAAAUAAAUUAAAAUAUUGGUCAUAAGUAUUCAUCUACUUUUAUAUUGAAAAUAUUAUACCCAAAGCCAUCUGCCAAGUUGAAGAACAUGAGACUAGAAUAUCAGACUGCCUAGUUUCAGAACAUUUCCAAAAUGAAUACAAUUUGAGCAGAGCAUCUAGCACCAAUUUGUGUACAUGGUCAGCAUACAAUGUGAAUGACUCUGAUUUCAACGACUUGUUUAAUUAUAAAGAAAAUAUUUUUGCCCAUUAGAGUUAUGUGCUUUUAAGUCAAACUGGAAUGGAAACAUUUUACGCAGUAUCCCCUUUAUUCUAUCCAGUGUUUUUAAUCUUAAACAACUACAUUGUCUGAUAUUAAUAUCUCCACUCUUUUCAUUUAGUUUGCAAUUGCCUGCAACUGCCUCUUUGUUUUCAAUAUUUCUUGACCCACGUGUUUUAAGCUUGUUUCUUGACGUCAGCAUAUAAGUUCUGUCUUCUGAUAGAAGAGUUUGAUUUGUUCACAUUUAAUGUCCUAUAUAAUUAAUUUUAUUUUUCCAUCUUACUUUAUUAUUGAUUUUAUACUGUUGUUUCCUUUUUUCUCAUUUUUGUUAUGAUCAGCAAAAUCCAUUUCAAAUGUCCACUCCACUUAUUGUUAACGUUGCUUACUAUCCUGCCACACAGAUGUAUAUUCUACUAUCAUAUGAAGGCAAGAGAAAAACCACCUUCUUUAAUAAGGCUCGUAAUCCUCCUGCCCACAUCAGUUAGAUGACAACUUUAAAAUAAGUUUAUCUCUGUUCUUUCUUACCCCUCUCCCUACCCUCCCCCAUGAGAGCAAUUCACCUCUCAUGUCUUGCUCCUAGCUUUGCUAAGAUCAUUUAAUAGUGUAGUGGAUAACCUUAGUGCUCAUCAAUAUAAAGUUCCCCUUUAGUUUUUGUACUUCACUUCUUAGCUCCCUUGCACUCAGUUAAGGCCAUGUAACAGAUUCUGGCCAAUGAAAUGUAAAUAGAAGCCACGUGGGUCAUUUCUGGGCUGAGUCAGCGAAAAGCUCUUAUGCGUUUUUAAAUCUUUCUUCCUCUCCCAGAAAAGUCAUGGAGAAGCCCUUAUCUUAAGAUAGCAGAGCCACAAAAUUUAAGUGGCUUGAAAUUUGAGAGGCCUGGAGGUCAGCUGUCUGGGAGAAUUGCCCAAAGGAAAGAAGAUUACUAUAAGCAAGUGAGAAGUAAUUGUCUGUUUCUGCAGAAAAACCUGGAGGAAUUCUACCUUCCUCAGACUCAAGACAAGGAAGCUUCAGCUCUUCUUUUGGCUUCUGAGAACUUUUUGAGAACGUCAAUGUGGAACUAUCUCAUUCAGUCUUUCCCACAGGUCUCCACAGAUCUCAGAAAGCCAAGCCACUCUCAACAUACAUUGCUUUUCAGUCUUUGUCCCCAA
Molecule: long non-coding RNA, 1435 nt
Filed under: Equus asinus (donkey)
Lineage: Eukaryota; Metazoa; Chordata; Mammalia; Perissodactyla; Equidae
Description: lncRNA (ENSEASG00005033960.1)
Source: RNAcentral